GCAGCCUGCCGGUCUGUCGCUCAUCCCACCGGGAUGGGAGGAACGUCCGGGCAACAAAGGGCACCAUACUUCUUAACGGGAAGCCGUCCGCGAGGGUGGAGCAGCGUAACAGAAAACGACCGCCGGACCUGUCCGGUAAGGGUGAAAAGGUGGGGUAAGAGCCCACCGGGUCUUAUAGUAAUAUAAGAUGCCGUACGUCUUAUGGGUUGUAAGGUCAUGUAUACCGGCGCAUGUAGGAUUGCCCGUCCGAUGCCGGGGGGUAGACCGCUAAAGCUUGCUGGUGACAGCAAGACGAGAUAAAUGGCAGACGCUUCCGUGCAAACGGGAGUACAGAACCCGGCUUAUAGGCAGACUGCUUUU
RNAcentral lists this RNase P RNA (360 nucleotides) under Parabacteroides sp. Its description in RNAcentral is "RNase P RNA component class A". It matches the Rfam family "Bacterial RNase P class A". Rfam says of the family: Ribonuclease P (RNase P) is a ubiquitous endoribonuclease, found in archaea, bacteria and eukarya as well as chloroplasts and mitochondria. Its best characterised activity is the generation of mature 5'-ends of tRNAs by cleaving the 5'-leader elements of precursor-tRNAs. Lineage: Bacteria; Pseudomonadati; Bacteroidota; Bacteroidia; Bacteroidales; Tannerellaceae. The record is from RNAcentral.